ACCCGUCUUGAAACACGGACCAAGGAGUCUAACAUACGCGCGAGUUUACGAGUGGAAAACUCGUGGGCGGAAUGAAAGUGAAGUCGUUCUUUUCGGACGAUUCGAUACGAUCCGUCGGCCAUUUCGGUCGGCGGCGGAGUAUCGUCCCGUCUGUGCGGUUCGUCCGCUCGGCGGAGAAUGAGCGCGCAUGUUGGGACCCGAAAGAUGGUGAACUAUGCUUGAGCAGAACGAAGCCAGAGGAAACUCUGGUGGAGGUUCGUAGCGGUUCUGACGUGCAAAUCGAUCGUCAGACUUGAGUAUAGGGGCGAAAGACUAAUCGAACCAUCUAGUAGCUGGUUCCUCCGA
Molecule: ribosomal RNA, 345 nt
Filed under: Amphimermis sp. A-2007
Lineage: Eukaryota; Metazoa; Nematoda; Enoplea; Mermithida; Mermithidae
Description: eukaryotic LSU rRNA
Rfam family: Eukaryotic large subunit ribosomal RNA
Source: RNAcentral